UACAGAGGGUGCGAGCGUUAAUCGGAAUUACUGGGCGUAAAGCGUGCGUAGACGGUAGCGUAAGUCAGAUGUGAAAGCCCCGGGCUCAACCUGGGAACUGCAUUUGAGACUGCUCUGCUCGGGUGCGGAAGAGGGAAGCGGAAUUUCCGGUGUAGCGGUGAAAUGCGUAGUUAUCGGAAGGAACACCAGUGGCGAAAGCGGCUUCCUGGUCCGACACCGACGUUCAGGCACGAAAGCGUGGGGAGCAAACAGG
Molecule: ribosomal RNA, 253 nt
Filed under: uncultured bacterium
Lineage: Bacteria
Description: partial 16S ribosomal RNA
Rfam family: Bacterial small subunit ribosomal RNA
Source: RNAcentral